RNAcentral lists this unclassified non-coding RNA (223 nucleotides) under Hevea brasiliensis (rubber tree). Lineage: Eukaryota; Viridiplantae; Streptophyta; Magnoliopsida; Malpighiales; Euphorbiaceae. The record is from RNAcentral.
UAAUAUCUUCCUCGUGAAUCCUUAUAACAUCUUCCAUUCCUUUGGUACUGUUGAUGGAUAAAUGGUCUGCAAUAAUCCGCCAAACAUUGGUCCUGAUAUUCGCAUAUUGAAUUUGAUCUUCGAAAUCUUCUUUGUGUCGAAACUUUUCCUGAACUGAACUUUGUAAUAUUCUUCCCUUUGAACCUCUUGCAGCCUCUUUUGGAAGUUGUCUGGCAUGUUUAUA